This 3488-nucleotide unclassified non-coding RNA is filed under the name Hevea brasiliensis (rubber tree). Lineage: Eukaryota; Viridiplantae; Streptophyta; Magnoliopsida; Malpighiales; Euphorbiaceae. The record is from RNAcentral.
CUCGAAGUUGCAACUUUUUUGUGUUAUAUUUUAAGAUUUGUAUUUUGUUCAUGAAAAUAAGAAGAAAAUAGACACUGCUCUCACCUUCUCCCAGAAAGAUGCCAAUCUAAGUCAUUAGCCACCUGAAGGAUGCUAGAGUUCAAACAUAAUUUCUCCUAGAACACAAUGAAACUACAUGCGUUCGUUUCAAUGCAUCAUUUUGACAAAGCAUUCAAUAAUUCAAAACAGGAAUAGAACAUCAGAUUUUAGCCAAAAAUAAAACUUACAAGUCUACUAGAGGUUCAAAUUCAGCUUAUAAAAAAAAUGCAAUGAAGAAGCAACAACAAAACAAAUCUCUGGUACCAACAGAAGAAAAGACUUGCUACUUAAACGAAAAUUGAUGGCUUCUCUUCUUUCAGCACUUCCUUAAAAUAUGUGCAUAUAUAUAGAGCCUUAAGCACGAACCCCUCUGUUGAGACUAACCAUGCGGUUAGAAACAUCUAAUUGAGAUCCCCUCACUGCAGUUCUUCCAGACCCACUAUAUGCAGCAUCUUGAUAUCGUGACCCACCAGGAUAUCCACCAGCACGCGACCCUCUCGAAUAACCACCACCAGCACCUUGGCCUAAUGCCGGUGGUCUCCCACCACCAACAUUAUACCCUGAACGCCCUGAGCCUUGCCUUCCGUGAGUGAAAGAAAAAUUGUCUUGCCACUUGCCACCUGCAGCAGCCAUGGUAGCAUAAUCCUGGCUAUCUUUCCGCCUCAUAGGCAAAUCCAAACCACCACCACCACCAAUCCUGGCCUCUAUUGCCCUUUCAUUACUUUCAGCAAGUACCGACAGCUUCUCUGUUAACUGGAAUGCCAGAACCUGCAAUCUUGUGUGCUCAACAUCAUGGAAGACAAUGCACUGUGUUGGCUGGUCCCAACUUGCAUGGAGCUCCUCAUUGAUCAUCAUUUUGCUAACAAUGCUGUGAGUCUGGGCUCCAGAGAGAUCGAACAUUUUGGUGAGUUGGUCCAAGCUAAGUGACUCAUAAGACGAUGAGUAGGUGAAAAGGUAGGUCCUCAGAGCUUCUUCUUUAAUCUUGGCCUUAAGCAUCUCAAGGACACUGUCUCUGUUCCUAAGAAGCCUCCAGACAUCAAGAGAAUUGAUAACAUCAAAGGCCUUCUGGAAAUCUCCCUUGCUAAGAGCCCGAGUGGCAGCCAUCACAUGAUCCCUGACAUUUUCAGGAGGGCCAGUAAAAGUUUGCCUCUCACUCACCUCAAGCAAUCGCCUAAAUGUCUUGCUAAUGACUUUGCGCUUAGCAUCAUGAGUGUUGGCUGCCAUGUUGGGGACCUCCAGUAGCAUGGCACAGAUGAGAUGGACAGCCUCCAGAAGCUCAAGAUUUAUGUGCAUAUGAUAUGGCAUUUGGCGUCUCCUUUCCAACCUUUCCUGCUCUGGAGUCUUCUCAUGAUACCGAUUUUGUGAAACACCUUGUGCAAGCAACUCCUUUACCCUUCCACCAGAAUACAGUUCAGAAAGGCAGCCAUGUCCUUCAGUGACUAGCCCAACACGGAAUGCACAUAAACCAAGCUGUGCCAUAGCCCUGUUGAAAAGAAUCUGGGUUGAAAUGUCCAUAUGCUGGAUACUAUCCUGCAGGUGACUCAUCAAUAGCAAGUCACGGGCAGUUGAGAACUCAUCCAAUAGAGCAUGGUGGUAGAUAUCACAAAGCAUUGCACGAGCUUUAGUUCGCUCAUCUCCAUACUUGUAUAUGAGUGAGACUAAUAUAUCCAUCAUUGUUCUGCUACUCUCAGGGAAGGUAGGCUUUCGAGGCACAAGCUCAGGAGUGACAACAAAAGCAGAUGGACCCCUACUUUCCUCAACCUUAGGUUCCUCCCCUGACUUUUCACCAUUAUCCCCAUCAUCUGCUUGUUCAGCCAAUUUCCUCAUGGCAUCAUAAACCUCUUGUGGUUUGUAGUAGAUCAGCUCAACCCGCCUAAGGGCAACCUUUGAUGCAGCUUUAAAGUCUCCAACCCUCUCUAGAUACUCUUGGACAUUCUGAGCAAGAACCAAAAACAUAGGUUCAUCCCUCAGUCUCUCAACAUACUCACGCGUAUGUGGAUCAAUGCAUUGCAAACUCUUGAAGAACUCAGCAUCUAUCCGCUCAAGGAAAGCCACCAAGUUCCCCCAAACCCGAAUAGUCCCAUUGUAGUCUGCCCCCUUCUGGGUUUCAUUCUCAUCAGGCUCAACCAUAUCAUCCACUACAAUGUUAGGAUACUGGACCAGAAUAUCAAGAAUAACCAGCAUAUUCUGCAAACAUUUCUUCCAUACAUUUAUAGGCAUAUGACCACUAAGUCCUGGGUUCACAUCAAACUGAGCAGAGACCACGCUAAAAAGAAUCUCAAGCUUCUGUGCAGGGGUCUUAGCAACCUUGGUCAGGAAGGUUAGUUGCUCAACCUGCUCAAACCUUCCAGUUCCCUUCCUACCUCGAGCAGCAACAACCUCCUUAAACUUUUUGUUCACUGUAUCCCAGGUGAUUUCACUAGGAUCUUUCAUAAACUGUCUAUCCAUGAGUUUAUCUCUCUUGCUCAUCAUCUUCUGCCAAUCACCUUCAAUCUCAGUUCUAUUAUCCUGGCGAUCCUCAUCUUCUUCUUCAUCCUCAUCAGACACAGCAAUUUUUGAAGGGUCCUCCACAAACUCCAAAUCCGAAUCUUCCUCUUCUUCUGUCUCCUCAUCUCCCUCUAGUUCCUCCUCACUCUCCGGAUUCUCCCUAUACUUAUUAAUCAAAUCCUCAUACUGCUUAUUGUUCUUCUUCAGUUUUUGUUUCAUCGAGUUCAAGGCCUUAGCAUUACUACUGCUCAUCUUCUUCUUUGCUUCCUUAUUUGCCAAAGCCUGAUUCAAGAAAUCCUCCAACAUCACAAGAGCUUUGAUGUAAAGAUUAGGGACCUUGUCAGAUUCUGUCAACCGCAUGACUUUCUCAAGCUGUUUAUUGAUUUUGUCGAAGCUCUCUUGCAAACUGACCCAAUCAUUGAUCUUCAUUGCAUUCUUCAUUUGAUCAACAGUAGCCGACAUCUCCUCAAAUCGUUUGUCUUUGGCUGACCUGACAACACGCUUUUGAUCAUCCGAGUCAUCGCUGUCACUAGCAGUUCCUCUGAGAUACCUGUUUUGUGGGGCUUGAGUGGUAGACUCGCCUUCUUCCCCAUUAUCAAUAUCUUCUUCAAAUUCACUCUCUUCCUCCUCAGAGUCGCUGCCACCCUGUCCCCAGAAUCGCGAUGCCAUCUUCUAGUAGAAAUUAAAUGCAAGAACCAGAAAAGCGCAAGAAUCUGAGAUUGACAAAGGCAGUACCGCAAGAGAAGGGCGCGAGCUCGACGACGGCGAUCUGAAAGGGAUGGAAGGCUGCGGGUAAAGGUGCUGUCUUUGCUGGGAAAACGGCAGGCCUUGUCGUCGUCGGUGAAAGCAGCAACAGAGGGAUAGAGAGAGCGAUGUAGUGAAGUAAAGGAGAGAGGCAAGGGAAGGAGAGAUUCUAGAGAAUG